Molecule: long non-coding RNA, 1571 nt
Organism: Mizuhopecten yessoensis (Yesso scallop)
Lineage: Eukaryota; Metazoa; Mollusca; Bivalvia; Pectinida; Pectinidae
Exons: 3
Source: RefSeq, a predicted model, not a curated record
AGGUAAGCUGGAUUAAAUACCUUAACAACAUACGGAUGUUACACUCUCUGAAACACACACGUCAAACGUCAUCCGUAUAUACUACACUAAAUGAUGAUAUGAUAAAAGAGAAGUCCGCGCCCAGGCUUUAUGACGAGGUACAUGGAACAGAGGACGGUCAUACCAGGUCCUACGUCAACAUGGCCUUCACAGGGAACACAUCUAGUGGUGGGACAUAGCGUUAAGAACAACAGAUUAUGAUGAAACAUUUACAAUCACUGACAUCACGCUAGGAUGAGUGGAGGUCAUGCUGCAUCAAACAGGUUAACAUCGCGGAUAUUUUGACGAGGGCUCAAAUCAAUAUCAACUCCGUGUUGUUUCAUGUGGUACUGCAUCAAUAUGGAUGUGAUAUUAAUGUUUUUGUCGAACAUUCUUUUUAUGUAUAUUUGUUUUACCAAUUGGUUAAUUAAUUUCAAAAUAUGUAUACAUAGUGCAUAGACAUUUAUAUAUCAUGUUUAAUAUUUAUGUCGUACAUAUCUCUGCCUUGCUUUUAUUUUUACUAUUAUUUGUAGUCAUGUUUUGCCAAUUAAUUUCCAAAAUACUUACUUUUGCAUUGUUAUAUAAAGGAAAAAUGGAAUAUGAAAAAGGAAUAGAUAAAAAGGCAUUUGCAUAAUUUAAGGAUGCACUCAUCUCAGGUUUCGUUCAGGUUCAAAUCACGUUCUGAUCUAGUGUGACGGUUUAUAUAAAAUUAAACAACUGAUGAUCAAUUUUACACGAAUACAUGCAACCGAAAAUAUGUAAAUAAACGACAUGCCUAUAGUAUGUAUUUACAGAACUAUUUUUUUCUCAAAUGAAAAAUAAAAGACUUUAUUCGGCAGCCAUUUGAAUAUCCGAAAUGAUGUGUAUUUGAAGCAAUGCUAAAAGGUCACUUUUUGACACUUGAUCUAUCACUAAAAAUGUAAGUAUCGCAAAGUGUAACUAUAGCGAGUUGAUUUUUUCAUGUUUAAGUUUCAAAUAUUCAGUAUUAUGAAAAUAAAACGCAACACAGAGGACAAUAAUACGAUAUUGAUAUUUAACUAGGUCACCUUUUGUUUGUCGUCGUGCGUACAUUUUUCAAUUUGUAGACUUCUUCUGCAGAACCAGUAUUUGUUUUGUUUUCAAACUUAGUCAGGAUAACCCUUGGUGGAAGAGGGUAUCAAAUUGUAAAAGUGGGGUCCCUGCUUAGAACCAAAGGGCAACCCUUCUCACGGGGUGGUCGGGUGGUGUAGUGGAUAGCGCACUUGCCUUUCACCAAGGCGACCGAGGUUUGAUUCCCCGAUCGAACGUGGAACGUUUCGGCGUCACCUGCCCGACAACAUGAGUUUUCUCCGGGUACUCCAGUUACUCCCACCCUAACACCCGGGCCAACAAGAUUGAUUAAUAUAAGUUGAAUUAACUUGUUUCAUAAUUGUCCUAAAAUAAAUAUAGUUUAUGUUUUAAUUGAAGAGGGGUAACAUUUAGCGUAGUUUAUAAAGGGAAACAGUACUUUCGGGUAUAUUUCCAUUUCCAGCGGGUAAUUUAAACUUAGUUAAGAUAAAAAUUGCUAAAAAAAA